RNAcentral lists this ribosomal RNA (97 nucleotides) under uncultured bacterium. RNAcentral's name for it is "partial 16S ribosomal RNA". It matches the Rfam family "Bacterial small subunit ribosomal RNA", at positions 1388 to 1482 of the family's 1533-position model. The record is from RNAcentral.
CACCGCCCGUCACAUCACGAAAGUGGGUUGUACUAGAAGUCUGCGCGCUAACCCGCAAGGGAGGCAGCGGCCCAAAAUAUAACUCAUGAUUGGGGUG